Molecule: transfer RNA, 91 nt
Filed under: Clostridiales bacterium
Lineage: Bacteria; Bacillati; Bacillota; Clostridia; Eubacteriales
Description: tRNA-Ser
Rfam family: tRNA
About the family: Transfer RNA (tRNA) molecules are approximately 80 nucleotides in length. Their secondary structure includes four short double-helical elements and three loops (D, anti-codon, and T loops).
Source: RNAcentral
GGAGAAGUACCCAAGUGGUUAAGGGGCUCCCCUGCUAAGGGAGUAGAUCGUGAAGAACGGUGCGAGGGUUCAAGUCCCUCCUUCUCCGCCA